Molecule: ribosomal RNA, 492 nt
Filed under: uncultured bacterium
Lineage: Bacteria
Description: partial 16S ribosomal RNA
Rfam family: Bacterial small subunit ribosomal RNA
Source: RNAcentral
AGUGAACGCUGGCGGUAGGCCUAACACAUGCAAGUCGAACGGCAGCACAGUAAGAGCUUGCUCUUACGGGUGGCGAGUGGCGGACGGGUGAGGAAUACAUCGGAAUCUACUUUUUCGUGGGGGAUAACGUAGGGAAACUUACGCUAAUACCGCAUACGACCUACGGGUGAAAGCAUGGGAUCUUCGGACCUUGCGCGAUUGAAUGAGCCGAUGUCGGAUUAGCUAGUUGGCGGGGUAAGGGCCCACCAAGGCCACGAUCCGUAGCUGGUCUGAGAGGAUGAUCAGCCACACUAGAACUGAGACACGGUCCAGACUCCUACGGGAGGCAGCAGUGGGGAAUAUUGGACAAUGGGAGCAAGCCUGAUCCAGCCAUACCGCGUGGGUGAAGAAGGCCUUCGGGUUGUAAAGCCCUUUUGUUGGGAAAGAAAAGCAGCAGGUUAAUACCCCGCUGUUCUGACGGUACCCAAAGAAUAAGCACCGGCUAACUUCGUG